UGGGCAAUCACAAUUCAUAGUUGGGUAAUUAGAACAAUCAAGGAUAACAAGCUUGAACUACUCCCUGAAUAGGGUAUAACUUGAGGAAUGUUUGUAAUGCUUUUUGGGACUUACUGAAUCACUUGCUUCAGGACUUACUUGGAGAGCCUACUAUGCUUGUCUCCUUGCACCACUGAAGAAGAAAUCUUCAAAGAAGAUGCAUGAAUUUAAUGCAAAGAACUUUAUGGACAUUACCAAAGACAAGGAUGCAGCUAAGUAUGGACAUUGUUACUGAAGUUCAAUGCCCCAUCAACCUACUCCAAAUAAUUACGUACCAGAUGGUAGGGGACUGGCAUGAGCAUUUUGGGACAAAUAUGCAAAAACAUGCAAAAGAACAUGCUAGAAGUCCUUCAGUGCAAAAAGAGUUCCCCUGAAUCUUGAAUCCAGAAGGAAGAAUGUGAUCAAAAUCUGCUGUUCUACAAACAAUUGUGCAUCCAUGGAAAGGAAAUACGACAUGGUAGCAACCAGGUGGCAAUUCUCACAAUUCUUAGUAAGAAAUCAGGUAUUAUAGGUGUCAUAGUCUAACAACAUAUCAGCAUCAGGUUGCCUAUGCCUGCAAUUGGGAAUGAAAGUGCCUCUUCCCUCCUGGGCACUGGGAUGAAGAGGGAUGUGAUGAAUAUAUACUGGCUUCCUGCUAUGAAAGGCUGGUAUUACCAUUAUGUGUUUAUGCCAAGAAUCAAGCAUGAGCAAAGGGAUGGAAAUAUAUUCCAUUUACAUCAGCAUCUUCUUGGAGAAUGGACCAUGCCAAAACUUGGGCAUCAACUGGGUCAAGAUAUUUAUCAAAAUAAUAACAUUCCUUUUUAUUGUACAGCUAUGAGCCCUGUUUUUAUGCAAACAAUUUGCUAGCCUGUGUUAUUGAGAAUAGCGGACGCAGCAGAUAACAGCCAUUUUAUACCAUUAUUCAAAUGGGUUCUCCAUGUCUGUUCUAGUGUUAAACUGCAAGUGUAGAAACUAUUACCCACUAAAGAAAGGAGAUCCCCUCUUACAAAGGGUUUAAUACAACAUUAUUUGGUAUUGAUAGUGACUCAAGCACAAGCCCUAUAAUGUCCUUUGGUUGGAAUGGAAAGGAUUGACCUUGUAUGUACAAGGAGCACAGAAGGCCUUUAACAAGUAACAGAAACAGUGAUUAUUAAGGAUUUAGAGACUCCCAAAGAUCAGAGAAACCUGGUUGUUCUGAAGAUUGUAAUGAAGGAUUGAUUUUUCUCAAAGAUCUUCUCAUGUUUAUAUUGACACAGAAUUAAGGAAUGUGUUAGUCACACUUUUGACUCACUUUGUUAGUAUCUAUGAAUUUGUACUGACAUUGUAAUUCUGUGAUAAUGCAGUUGUUUUAUUAUAUUAAUAUAGGAUACAACUAAUAAAAUAUGAA
This is a long non-coding RNA of Anolis carolinensis (green anole), 1405 nucleotides long. RefSeq lists it as uncharacterized. The record is from RefSeq and is a predicted model, not a curated record. NCBI's taxonomy places the organism in Eukaryota, Metazoa, Chordata, Lepidosauria, Squamata, Anolidae. The transcript has 3 exons.